This 540-nucleotide ribosomal RNA is filed under the name Debaryomyces sp. Z8Y13. RNAcentral's name for it is "eukaryotic LSU rRNA". It matches the Rfam family "Eukaryotic large subunit ribosomal RNA", at positions 84 to 642 of the family's 3401-position model. Lineage: Eukaryota; Fungi; Ascomycota; Pichiomycetes; Serinales; Debaryomycetaceae. The record is from RNAcentral.
UACGGCGAGUGAGCGGCAAAGCUCAAAUUUGAAAUCUGGCACCUUCGGUGUCCGAGUUGUAAUUUGAAGAAGGUAACUUUGGAGUUGGCUCUUGUCUAUGUUCCUUGGAACAGGACGUCACAGAGGGUGAGAAUCCCGUGCGAUGAGAUGCCCAAUUCUAUGUAAAGUGCUUUCGAAGAGUCGAGUUGUUUGGGAAUGCAGCUCUAAGUGGGUGGUAAAUUCCAUCUAAAGCUAAAUAUUGGCGAGAGACCGAUAGCGAACAAGUACAGUGAUGGAAAGAUGAAAAGAACUUUGAAAAGAGAGUGAAAAAGUACGUGAAAUUGUUGAAAGGGAAGGGCUUGAGAUCAGACUUGGUAUUUUGCGAUCCUUUCCUUCUUGGUUGGGUUCCUCGCAGCUUACUGGGCCAGCAUCGGUUUGGAUGGUAGGAUAAUGACUAAGGAAUGUGGCUCUACUUCGGUGGAGUGUUAUAGCCUUGGUUGAUACUGCCUGUCUAGACCGAGGACUGCGUCUUUUGACUAGGAUGUUGGCAUAAUGAUCUUA